This 468-nucleotide ribosomal RNA is filed under the name uncultured bacterium. RNAcentral describes it as "partial 16S ribosomal RNA". It matches the Rfam family "Bacterial small subunit ribosomal RNA", at positions 28 to 507 of the family's 1533-position model. The record is from RNAcentral.
GACGAACGCUGGCGGCGUGCUUAACACAUGCAAGUCGAACGGAAAGGCCCUGCUUUUGUGGGGUGCUCGAGUGGCGAACGGGUGAGUAACACGUGAGUAACCUGCCCUUGACUUUGGUAUAACUUCAGGAAACUGGGGCUAAUACCGGAUAGGAUCUCCUGCUGCAUGGUGGGGGUUGGAAAGUUUCGGCGGUUGGGGAUGGACUCGCGGCUUAUCAGCUUGUUGGUGGGGUAGUGGCUUACCAAGGCUUUGACGGGUAGCCGGCCUGAGAGGGUGACCGGGCACAUGGGGACUGAGAUACGGCCCAGACUGCUACGGGAGGCAGAAGUGGGGAAUAUUGCACAAUGGGCGGAAGCGUGAUGCAGCAACGCCGCGGGCGGGAUGACGGCCUUUGGGUUGUAAACCGCUUUAGCCUGUGACGAAGCGUGAGUGACGGUAAUGGGUAAAGAAGCACCGGCUAACUACGUG